AUACUUACCUGGCGGGAGAGAGACCAUGGUCACGAAGGUGGUUUUCCCAGGGCGAGGCUUAGCCAUUGCCCUCCGGAUGUGCUGACCUCGGUGAUGUCCCCAAAUGUGGGAAACUCGACUGCAUAAUUUGUGGUAGCGGGGUAAAAAAAACAAAAAAGUCUUGUGAUGAGUAUAAGCUCCCAC
Small nuclear RNA from Myotis lucifugus (little brown bat), 183 nucleotides. Its record names the gene U1. It matches the Rfam family "U1 spliceosomal RNA". Rfam says of the family: U1 is a small nuclear RNA (snRNA) component of the spliceosome (involved in pre-mRNA splicing). Its 5' end forms complementary base pairs with the 5' splice junction, thus defining the 5' donor site of an intron. There are significant differences in sequence and secondary structure between metazoan and yeast U1 snRNAs, the latter being much longer (568 nucleotides as compared to 164 nucleotides in human). Lineage: Eukaryota; Metazoa; Chordata; Mammalia; Chiroptera; Vespertilionidae. The record is from Ensembl.